This 64-nucleotide transfer RNA is filed under the name Populicerus albostriatus. RNAcentral describes it as "tRNA-Ala". It matches the Rfam family "tRNA". Rfam says of the family: Transfer RNA (tRNA) molecules are approximately 80 nucleotides in length. The record is from RNAcentral. Lineage: Eukaryota; Metazoa; Arthropoda; Insecta; Hemiptera; Cicadellidae. RNAcentral also lists the same sequence under 1 other name.
AGGAUUGUAGUUAAUUAUAACAUUUGAUUUGCAUUCAAAAAGUAUCUUAUAGAGAUUAAUCUUG